This 260-nucleotide ribosomal RNA is filed under the name uncultured archaeon. Its description in RNAcentral is "partial 16S ribosomal RNA". It matches the Rfam family "Archaeal small subunit ribosomal RNA", at positions 748 to 1009 of the family's 1478-position model. The record is from RNAcentral.
UGGCCGUAAACGAUGUGGACUUGGUGUUGGAAUGGCUCCGAGCUGCUCCAGUGCCGAAGGGAGCUGUUAAGUCCACCGCCUGGGAAGUACGGUCGCAAGACUGAGACUUAAAGGAAUUGGCGGGGGAGCACCACAACGGGUGGAGCCUGCGGUUUAAUUGGACUCAACGCCGGGAAGCUCACCGGAUAAGACAGCGGAAUGAUUGCCGGGCUGAAGACCCUGCAUGACCAGCUGAGAGGAGGUGCAUGGCGUAGUCGUGU